UAAUACGAAGGGGGCAAGCGUUGUUCGGAAUUACUGGGCGUAAAGGGCGCGUAGGCGGCUUUGUAAGUCAGGUGUGAAAGCCCUGGGCUCAACCCGGGAACUGCAUUUGAUACUGCGAAGCUCGAAUCUCGGAGAGGUUGGUGGAAUUCCCAGUGUAGAGGUGAAAUUCGUAGAGAUUGGGAAGAACACCGGUGGCGAAGGCGGCCAACUGGACGAGUAUUGACGCUGAGGCGCGAAAGCGUGGGGAGCAAACAGGAUUAGAUACCCUGGUAGUCCACGCUGUAAACGAUGUGUGCUAGCCGUCGGGGCUCCUAGAGCUUCGGUGGCGUCGCUAACGCUUUAAGCACACCGCCUGGGGAGUACGGUCGCAAGAUUA
Molecule: ribosomal RNA, 376 nt
Filed under: uncultured bacterium
Lineage: Bacteria
Description: bacterial SSU rRNA
Rfam family: Bacterial small subunit ribosomal RNA
Source: RNAcentral